GUGGGAAGUGGAAGCAGAGAUUGGGAAGCCAAGUCCCUUGGAUUGGGGAUCCAAGCUCCCUGGGACACAGCUGGGAGAUGGGGAUUGUGAUGUGAUGUAGGAAGUAUGGUAUGGGGUGGAGAGAGGCGAUAGCAAAGAGGGAUUGGCCAACAUGUGAGGUUAACAAGCAGCAUUCACAGCUGAAAGUCAUCCAGCCCAUAAUGAUCUGUACUAAUUUGGUCACUACAGGAGUCACUGUUGGCUGUAGGCAAAGGAGGGCUACUCAGUGUUUGUGUCAGGGCCGCUGCUGAGCACUGUGGACCCACAGGGAGGAUGAGCAGAGCAGGUCGGUGCUGUGGUCCCUCCUGGCCAGGACACGGAAGCUUCUGGCUCUGAAUUUAAACCCGAAGACAGUCGAGAUCUCAAUGACAGCCAGCUCUCUUGCAGCACAAUGCUCAGACUCCUGAAGCUUCCCCACCAUCCAUGUAAUAAAUAAAUAAUCAC
Long non-coding RNA from Gallus gallus (chicken), 483 nucleotides. Lineage: Eukaryota; Metazoa; Chordata; Aves; Galliformes; Phasianidae. The record is from Ensembl.